GCAUGCUUCACUAUGUACCAAAACUGUGAUUAUCAAUACAAACACAAGAAUAUUAUUCUGUUUGACCUCUAAGAUGAUUUUCAAAACUCUUCAUGUUGCUCAUGUUCAGAUGUUUAAAUGUCUUCAGAACUACGAGUGUUUUCUCACAUGACUCAAACACACAUGGUCUGUGUGUGUGUGUGUGUGUGUGUGUGUGUGUGUGUGUGUGUGUGUGUGAAUGGAUCUGUGUGUGUGUGUGUGUGUGUGUGUGUGUGAAUGGGUGUGUGUGAGAAUGGAUCUGUGUGUGUGUGUGUGUGUGUGUGUGUGUGUGUGUGUGUGUGUGUGUGAAUGGGUGUGUGUGAGAAUGGAUCUCUGUGUGUGUGUGUGUGUGUGUGUGUGUGUGUGUGUGUGUGUGUGUGUACGUGUGUGUAGUAGUUAUGGUAACUCAGAGAUUGUGUAAUGAGAGUGUGAGGCGCUGCUGUAAAGACACUGAUUAUCAGUAAAUAACACUCAUAGAGAGGAGAUAACACUCAAACACUCGCACAUCUUCAUUUCUCUUUUUCUCAUUCGUUCCUUACAUGUAUAGAUGUUUUCUCGGGUGCUGUGAUUAGGAUCUCUUGUCGAUGGACCGGCCCUCUUCUCCUCGGCUGAAAUCCCCUCAUGGUGUGUGUUUACUGAGCUCGUCAGGAUCACUGAACACGGCGUCUGUCAUAAAACUCCCGCUGAUCAAUACGGUCCGAUCUGCUGAGAUCAUGAUCAUGUUUUCAUCCGUAUGCCGACACACACCUGAGAUAAGAGUCAAGCUGUCACUGCGUUCCAUCAGCGUCUCUUACUGUGUGUGUGUGUGUGUGUGUGUGUGUGUGUGUGUGUGUGUUACAGUAUUGUGACAAAGGAGAUGUUUAUGACAGAUAUAGGUUUGUCUGGCUUCCUGUUCACAUCGCACACACACAUUACAUUUUAAUGUACAUCCUUUUAAUGUAUACCUUUAUAUUCAUUUGAAGUAUUUUAUUAAUUUCUUAAAUUUUUAUUUUUAAAUGUUUUUAUUCUAUAAUAUUCCAUUUUUAUUUAUACUUUUUUAUUAUUUAUUUUAUAUUUUAUACAUUUUUAUAUUAAAAAUUUUUCAUAUUUGUUAUACUGAUGUGUAAAACACUUUGAAUUACUGUUGUGUAUGCCUUUUAUUUUAUUGCAUUUUAUUGCACCAGAUCAGUCAUAAUGUAGUUUUUCACAUUCAUUUCACAGUCUCUCUGACCUUUUGAAUGAAAGUUUCGCUGUCCCUUCCUAGUAAAGCCGUGCUGAUGUAAUGCUGUUGUCCACAGUGAAACACACAUUCUGAGACGAGACCUUAAACUGGGUGUUUUUAGCUGCUUUUGCUAAAUAAAAAAAAUGUCACUCACAAUAAAGUACCAUAACUUAGAUUUGAACUUCUGAAACCCAAACAGCAUCAGAUGUUGAAGUAUGAAGUUUAACUCGGUGACUGAGGAAUGUGUGUGUGUGUGUGUGUGUGUGCGUGAACACGUUUGUGACGCUCGACCUUGAACACAUGGACACCAUUUAUCUGAGGCUGAUAAAUUAAUGAGCAGUCUGUGUUUGCACUGAGCAGACGACUGCAGGACGCUUCACACACUGGCACUGUAAACACCAACAACUCAAACCACAGAAAACUAUACAUUACUGAAGCACAGAAAGAAGAGAAAGAGGAUGACAAGAAAGCAAAGUGGUCUGAAAGUGUGAUGUGAUUUAACACAAACACACACUCACACACGCACACACACAGACAUGUUUGCUCAUUUGAAUGAACACUGAUCAGAAACUAAUUUUCAGAAACUUUUUGAUAACAUUUCCAUUGAGUUUUAAAAUGAUAACUUCUGAAUGUUUUUAAAACAAGUUACAUUUAAAAUUGUCAAAUGAACUUCCACACAUGGCAAAAAAAAUAUAUAUAUAUAUUUAUACCCAAAAUAUAUUUAAAAUAUGUUAAAUAUAAGUUGCAAGCACUGAAGUUAAAUGAAUUUUUUUUAGAAAUUGAAAUCGUCAUAUACCAAAAUAUAUUGCAAAAUGUAUUUCAGGGGCAAGAAAAUACAUUUCCAAUCUUACAGUAGCCUACGAUUAGACUGAAUGCAAAUGUGGCAAGCCUAGAUAGAUCAAAACUAAAUUUAUAAUGUUUCAUUAAUG
Molecule: long non-coding RNA, 2148 nt
Organism: Cyprinus carpio carpio
Lineage: Eukaryota; Metazoa; Chordata; Actinopteri; Cypriniformes; Cyprinidae
Source: Ensembl